RNAcentral lists this ribosomal RNA (231 nucleotides) under uncultured bacterium. RNAcentral's name for it is "partial 16S ribosomal RNA". It matches the Rfam family "Bacterial small subunit ribosomal RNA", at positions 524 to 755 of the family's 1533-position model. The record is from RNAcentral.
UACGAAGGGGGCUAGCGUUGUCCGGAAUCACUGGGCGUAAAGGGUUCGCAGGCGGGAAUGCAAGUUAGAUGUAAAAGGCAGUAGCUUAACUACUGUAAGCAUUUGAAACUACGUAUCUUGAGAAGGGUAGAGGUAAGUGGAAUUCUGAGUGUAGCGGUGAAAUGCGUAGAUAUUAAAAAGAAUACCGGUGGCGAAGGCGACUUACUGGGCUCAUACUGACGCUGAGGUGCG